UACGGGGGGGGCAAGCGUUGUUCGGAAUUACUGGGCGUAAAGGGCUCGUAGGCGGCCAACUAAGUCGGAUGUGAAAUCCCCAGGCUCAACCUGGGAACUGCAUCCGAUACUGGAUGGCUUGAAUUCGGGAGAGGGAUGCAGAAUUCCAGGUGUAGCGGUGAAAUGCGCAGAUAUCAGGAGGAACACCAAUGGCGAAGGCAGCUCGCUGGGACGGUACUGACGCUGAGACGCGAAAGCGUGGGGAGCAAACAGG
Molecule: ribosomal RNA, 253 nt
Filed under: uncultured bacterium
Lineage: Bacteria
Description: partial 16S ribosomal RNA
Rfam family: Bacterial small subunit ribosomal RNA
Source: RNAcentral